Non-coding RNA from Acidovorax sp. JS42, 74 nucleotides. The record is from Rfam. NCBI's taxonomy places the organism in Bacteria, Pseudomonadati, Pseudomonadota, Betaproteobacteria, Burkholderiales, Comamonadaceae.
GGGUCUGUAGCUCAGCUGGUUAGAGCACCGUCUUGAUAAGGCGGGGGUCGUUGGUUCGAGCCCAACUAGACCCA